This 406-nucleotide ribosomal RNA is filed under the name Verrucomicrobiota bacterium. RNAcentral's name for it is "Verrucomicrobia bacterium partial 16S ribosomal RNA". It matches the Rfam family "Bacterial small subunit ribosomal RNA", at positions 355 to 776 of the family's 1533-position model. The record is from RNAcentral. Lineage: Bacteria; Pseudomonadati; Verrucomicrobiota.
UGGGGAAUAUUGGACAAUGGAGGCAACUCUGAUCCAGCAAUUCUGUGUGUGUGAAGAAGGUUUAGGACUGUAAAACACUUUUAGUAGGGAAGAAAGAAAUGACGGUACCUACAGAAGAAGCGACGGCUAAAUACGUGCCAGCAGCCGCGGUAAUACGUAUGUCGCGAGCGUUAUCCGGAAUUAUUGGGCUUAAAGGGCAUCUAGGCGGUAAGACAAGUUGAAGGUGAAAACCUGUGGCUCAACCAUAGGCUUGCCUACAAAACUGUUGAACUAGAGUACUGGAAAGGUGGGUGGAACUACACGAGUAGAGGUGAAAUUCGUAGAUAUGUGUAGGAAUGCCGAUGAUGAAGAUAACUCACUGGACAGAAACUGACGCUGAAGUGCGAAAGCUAGGGGAGCAAACAGG